GACGAACGCUGGCGGCGUGCUUAACACAUGCAAGUCGAACGGAAAGGCCCUGCUUUUGUGGGGUGCUCGAGUGGCGAACGGGUGAGUAACACGUGAGUAACCUGCCCUUGACUUUGGGAUAACUUCGGGAAACUGGGGCUAAUACCGGAUAGGAGCUCCUGCUGCAUGGUGGGGGUUGGAAAGUUUCGGCGGUUGGGGAUGGACUCGCGGCUUAUCAGCUUGUUGGUGGGGUAGUGGCUUACCAAGGCUUUGACGGGUAGCCGGCCUGAGAGGGUGACCGGCCACAUUGGGACUGAGAUACGGCCCAGACUCCUACGGGAGGCAGCAGUGGGGAAUAUUGCACAAUGGGCGGAAGCCUGAUGCAGCAACGCCGCGUGCGGGAUGACGGCCUUCGGGUUGUAAACCGCUUUCGCCUGUGACGAAGCGUGAGUGACGGUAAUGGGUAAAGAAGCACCGGCUAACUACGUGCCAGCAGCCGCGGUGAUACGUAGGGUGCGAGCGUUGUCCGGAUUUAUUGGGCGUAAAGGGCUCGUAGGUGGUUGAUCGCGUCGGAAGUGUAAUCUUGGGGCUUAACCCUGAGCGUGCUUUCGAUACGGGUUGACUUGAGGAAGGUAGGGGAGAAUGGAAUUCCUGGUGGAGCGGUGGAAUGCGCAGAUAUCAGGAGGAACACCAGUGGCGAAGGCGGUUCUCUGGGCCUUUCCUGACGCUGAGGAGCGAAAGCGUGGGGAGCGAACAGGCUUAGAUACCCUGGUAGUCCACGCUGUAAACGGUGGGUACUAGGUGUGGGGUCCAUUCCACGGGUUCCGUGCCGUAGCUAACGCUUUAAGUACCCCGCCUGGGGAGUACGGCCGCAAGGCUAAAACUCAAAGGAAUUGACGGGGCCCCGCACAAGCGGCGGAGCAUGCGGAUUAAUUCGAUGCAACGCGUUGAACCUUACCUGGGUUUGACAUGGAUCGGGAGCGCUCAGAGAUGGGUGUGCCUCUUUUGGGGUCGGUUCACAGGUGGUGCAUGGCUGUCGUCAGCUCGUGUCGUGAGAUGUUGGGUUAAGUCCCGCAACGAGCGCAACCCUUGUUCACUGUUGCCAGCACGUUAUGGUGGGGACUCAGUGGAGACCGCCGGGGUCAACUCGGAGGAAGGUGGGGAUGACGUCAAGUCAUCAUGCCCCUUAUGUCCAGGGCUUCACGCAUGCUACAAUGGCUGGUACAGAGAGUGGCGAGCCUGUGAGGGUGAGCGAAUCUCGGAAAGCCGGUCUCAGUUCGGAUUGGGGUCUGCAACUCGACCUCAUGAAGUCGGAGUCGCUAGUAAUCGCAGAUCAGCAACGCUGCGGUGAAUACGUUCCCGGG
RNAcentral lists this ribosomal RNA (1343 nucleotides) under uncultured bacterium. RNAcentral describes it as "16S ribosomal RNA". It matches the Rfam family "Bacterial small subunit ribosomal RNA", at positions 28 to 1378 of the family's 1533-position model. The record is from RNAcentral.